AACGGCGAGUGAAGCGGCAAAAGCUCAAAUUUGAAAUCUGGCUCCAUGCGGAGCCCGAGUUGUAAUUUGGAGAGGACACUUCGGGUGCGGCCACGGCAUAAGUUCCUUGGAACAGGACGUCAUAGAGGGUGAGAAUCCCGUCUUUGGCUGCUGGACCGCGCCCAUGCGAAGUUCCUUCGACGAGUCGAGUUGUUUGGGAAUGCAGCUCUAAGUGGGUGGUAAAUUUCAUCUAAAGCUAAAUAUUGGCCGGAGACCGAUAGCGCACAAGUAGAGUGAUCGAAAGGUUAAAAGCACCUUGAAAAGGGAGUUAAAUAGCACGUGAAAUUGUUGAAAGGGAAGCGCUUGCAACCAGACUCGGUCGUGGGGGCUCAGCGGGCAUGAGUGCCCGUGUACUCCCCCAUGCUCCGGGCCAGCAUCAGUUCUGGCGGUUGGUUAAAGGCCUCUGGAAUGUAUCGUCCUCCGGGACGUCUUAUAGCCAGGGGCGCAAUGCGGCCAGCCGGGACUGAGGAACGCGCUUCGGCACGGAUGCUGGCAUAAUGGUUGUAAGCGGCCCGUCUUGAAACACGGACCAAGGAGUCUAACAUCCACGCGAGUGUUCGGGUGUCAAACCCGUGCGCGCAGUGAAAGCGAACGGAGGUGGGAGCCCGCAAGGGUGCACCAUCGACCGAUCCUGAAGUCUUCGGAUGGAUUUGAGUAAGAGCGUGGCUGUUGGGACCCGAAAGAUGGUGAACUAUGCCUGAAUAGGGUGAAGCCAGAGGAAACUCUGGUGGAGGCUCGCAGCGGUUCUGACGUGCAAAUCGAUCGUCAAAUUU
This 812-nucleotide ribosomal RNA is filed under the name Coccidioides immitis. Its description in RNAcentral is "eukaryotic LSU rRNA". It matches the Rfam family "Eukaryotic large subunit ribosomal RNA", at positions 85 to 912 of the family's 3401-position model. The record is from RNAcentral. Lineage: Eukaryota; Fungi; Ascomycota; Eurotiomycetes; Onygenales; Onygenaceae.